GUGUCAGCCGCCGCGGUAAUACGGAGGAUCCAAGCGUUAUCCGGAAUCAUUGGGUUUAAAGGGUCCGUAGGCGGUUUAAUAAGUCAGUGGUGAAAGCCCAUCGCUCAACGGUGGAACGGCCAUUGAUACUGUUAAACUUGAAGUAUUAGGAAGUAACUAGAAUAUGUAGUGUAGCGGUGAAAUGCUUAGAGAUUACAUGGAAUACCAAUUGCGAAGGCAGGUUACUACUAAUGGAUUGACGCUGAUGGACGAAAGCGUGGGUAGCGAACAGGAUUAGAAACCCUGGUAGUCC
RNAcentral lists this ribosomal RNA (292 nucleotides) under uncultured Flavobacterium sp. Its description in RNAcentral is "partial 16S ribosomal RNA". It matches the Rfam family "Bacterial small subunit ribosomal RNA", at positions 505 to 796 of the family's 1533-position model. The record is from RNAcentral. Lineage: Bacteria; Pseudomonadati; Bacteroidota; Flavobacteriia; Flavobacteriales; Flavobacteriaceae.